UUUUAUUUUAUUUUAAUUUUUUUGGAUCCUUCGACGAGCCUCACGAACAGGACCACUCUUCUUCUUCCCUUGGCGGCCCAAUUUCAAGCCCUCAGCUAUCUGUUUCGUAAUCAGAACAUUGAAAUCUGAGUUCACCCGUGUUUAGCGUGCCGCAAUGAUUAUGUCAGUUCCUAAACUUUCAAGACGAGUUGGUGAUUGGAUUCUCAAAGAGCUCUCAAGAGGAGAAUCUGCACCCAUUAUAAGAGCAGGACAUGUUCAAAGGCCUUACAGCCAAUAUUUGAAACCAAUUUUUGGACGUCAAACAGAAACAAACAUGUUCCAGGGAGCCUUAUUUCAGAAGCAUCAUCAUUUCUCUACCAUUACUGCUGACACUGCAUCUGAGGUAGAGAGUGAAGAGAACAAAAAGAUAUCUGUCACAUUUGUUGACAAGGAGGGAGAGGAAAAGCAGAUUAUGGUCCCCCUUGGAAUGUCCAUGUUAGAAGCUGCUCUUGAAAAUGAUAUGGAACUUGAAGGAGCAUGUGAAGGCUCGCUUGCCUGUUCAACGUGUCACGUGAUUGUUAUGGACACGGAGUACUACAACAAGUUAGAAGACCCUACGGAUGAGGAAAAUGACAUGCUGGAUCUGGCCUUCGGCCUUUCUGAAACGUCUCGUCUUGGUUGUCAAGUGAUUGCAAAACCCGAACUUGAUGGAAUUCGUUUAGCAAUUCCCACUGCGACAAGAAACUUUGCAGUUGAUGUUUAAAGUUCCAAAACCGAACAAGGGUUAUACAAAUGACACUGAAAUUGUUUGCUGAGAGAAAGGACUCAAUCAUCCCAAUUUUGUAGCUCUUAUAUUCUAUUUGAUCAAAGAGAACCGUACCAUUUGGAUGCGGCGUAAAUGGGGCUUUUACACCCUUCAAAUGGGGCACAAUCAAAACUUAUAUUUGUUUUUUUUUGUUUUUUUUAAAUGAUGGUGGAUGUCGACUGACAGAUUUGGGCCAACUCCAAAGUGUAUAAUUUCACCUAUCGAUGAGCCAAUAUAGUUCUUCGUAACUGUACACUUCCAUUUCGAGAUAUUUUCAGGGUCAGCUAUAGCUUGCAACGCCACUAGAAAAUCGCCUGCAAUGACUACUUUCUUGAUUUGUUUGGCCUGCAUAUCUUCUAGACCGAUGUACAUUGUCGUGGUUUCGCCUUGAUUUGGAUUCUGGCUUUCGAUGUGCUUUGUGAUAACAAAAAUUGGAGUACCAUCUUCUGAUCUGCAGAUUGUUGUUGCUGUACUACCUGUAUUUCUUACGGCUACUGCGAAGAAUAGUAUGUAAUGUCCUCUGAGUGUAGCUUUCCAA
RNA transcript from Juglans microcarpa x Juglans regia, 1322 nucleotides. It is a transcript of the gene named 2Fe-2S ferredoxin-like, with no coding region annotated. The transcript is spliced from 9 exons. Lineage: Eukaryota; Viridiplantae; Streptophyta; Magnoliopsida; Fagales; Juglandaceae. The record is from RefSeq and is a predicted model, not a curated record.